GUCCGUUAAAAUUACGAAGUGAUGAUUUCAGCUUCCCAAUGCUUCACUAUUGGGAAGCUGAAACCAACUCUUUUGACGUAAAUCCUAAUACAGUGGCAAAAUCAAUAGCUCAAACAUAUCAAACGAAGGGAUAGUGUGUGCGUUUAGCUGUGUUCAUAUAAAUUCAUUGUGCAUGGAAGCAUUGUACACGUAUCAUUGUGUCAUUGUGUAAUUGUGGAUAAUUGAACAUCCCAAGGUGAUAUUAUAAAUUGGUGGAUAUUGUUAAUACAUGUUGUAUAUAUGUGUUAACGUGUUUAUACAUUUUGUGUGAUAUUUCAUGAUGCAUAUUGCAUAGAAAUCCAUUGGUGACUUUGUGAAAUAAAGUGUCUGAGGCAUGUUGAAUAGUGAUAUAUUAGUGACAUUGUGGAUAAUCAGGCCUAAUACCCUAUCAAUCAUGAUAUUGGAUUAUUGUACAACUAACAAAUUAGGUGGUCAGAAUGAUUUUUAAAAGAUUUACUGAAAUAACCAUUCUGAUCGGUCAAAAGAGAAGGUUACUUUCCACAACAUGAAAUUUUGUGUCUAGAACAUAGGAGAUUAUCCGAUUGUGUAGAAUAGUUUCUUCAAAUCAGAAGCAUGUCUUUUGGAUGAACUUUUGUAAACAGGAUACUUUUUGAUUUCUUGGAAUAGUUUCUUCAAAUCAGAAGCAUACAUAUUGGACAAAUUUUUGUAAACAGGUAUUCAAAUAACUGUUAAUAAACAUGCAAAACACCGCUAUCAAGACAACCAACUGCACAUUUAGUCUUCCUAUUAUAACGGCGAUCUUGUAUGUAGUUCAGGUUUGUGAAUAAUAUUUACUAAACGUUAAAAGUAAAAUAACAAAAAGAUACUUAACUUUGAGGAAAAUCAAUUUGGAAAGUCCAUAAUCACAUGGCAAAACAUAAUACCAAAACGCAUCAAAAACGAAUGGACAAGAACUCAUAUUCCUGACUUGGUAAAGGCAUUUUCAAAUUUAGAAAAUGGUGAAUUAAACCUGG
Long non-coding RNA from Mytilus trossulus (common blue mussel), 1013 nucleotides. RefSeq lists it as uncharacterized. NCBI's taxonomy places the organism in Eukaryota, Metazoa, Mollusca, Bivalvia, Mytilida, Mytilidae. The record is from RefSeq and is a predicted model, not a curated record. The transcript has 3 exons.